Molecule: ribosomal RNA, 449 nt
Filed under: uncultured bacterium
Lineage: Bacteria
Description: partial 16S ribosomal RNA
Rfam family: Bacterial small subunit ribosomal RNA
Source: RNAcentral
GUGGGGAAUUUUGGACAAUGGGCGCAAGCCUGAUCCAGCAAUGCCGCGUGCAGGAAGAAGGCCUUCGGGUUGUAAACUGCUUUUGUACGGAACGAAACGGUCCGGGUUAAUACCCUGGGCUAAUGACGGUACCGUAAGAAUAAGCACCGGCUAACUACGUGCCAGCAGCCGCGGUAAUACGUAGGGUGCAAGCGUUAAUCGGAAUUACUGGGCGUAAAGCGUGCGCAGGCGGUUUUGUAAGACAGGCGUGAAAUCCCCGGGCUCAACCUGGGAAUUGCGCUUGUGACUGCAAGGCUGGAGUGCGGCAGAGGGGGAUGGAAUUCCGCGUGUAGCAGUGAAAUGCGUAGAUAUGCGGAGGAACACCGAUGGCGAAGGCAAUCCCCUGGGCCUGCACUGACGCUCAUGCACGAAAGCGUGGGGAGCAAACAGGAUUAGAAACCCCGGUAGCC